AUGGAGCCCUCAGUGGGAUGAGGGUGAAACUGCUAUUGCCUGCUUCUGCUGUGUUCCCGCCUCAGCAUGCUGGUGCAUUUAUUUCGGGUCGGGAUUCGGGGUGGCCCAUUCCCAGGCAGGCUGCUACCGCCCCUCCGCUUCCAGACAUUCUCAGCUGUCAGCUGUGGAGAGGGAGCAUGUGUCAUGGCGCCCCAGGCCAGGGAGGGGAGGUAGGGUAAUGGGCCUGGGACAUCAGAAGACAUGGCACGCUGGCAGAGUAGAGCCAGCCUGGGUGCUGGAGUCAGACUUCAGACUUGGUUCCCUGCUCGUCCCAGUUCUGCUGCCUGGGGACAAGUUAUUUCAGCUCUCUUAGCUCCACAUGAUUUUUUUCAUCUGUCAGGUGAGAAUAAUGGUACCUCCCUCCCAGGGAGGUGAGGAUCAAGGGAAGUAGCCCAUUAGCUCCAGGAGGUGGGGCCAUGUCUGCCCUGGUGGCUGCUGUGAGCAAGUCCAGUGCCGGGCACAGGAGCAGCUCUUUCCUCACCUCUCUGCACCGUGGUCCCUUGAACCCCCGGCCCCUUC
Molecule: small RNA, 558 nt
Filed under: Pongo abelii (Sumatran orangutan)
Lineage: Eukaryota; Metazoa; Chordata; Mammalia; Primates; Hominidae
Description: retained intron
Source: RNAcentral